GAGGAAAGUCCGGGCUCUAUUUAUAAAAACAUUGCUAUAUAAAUGUAGUGCAGGUAACUGCGAGGAGAGUGCCACAGAAAUAAACCUGCUAUGAAUUAUAAGUAAGGGUGCAAUGGUAUGGUAAAAGCAUACCAGGAGUAUUGUUAAGAUAUUUGCUAGGUAAACCCCAUGUAAGAGCAAAGUAAUCAAUUAGUUUAAAAUUAUAUUAUUGAUUUAAUUCUUAUUUAUAAGAAAUUAAUUGAUAGUUCUAAAUACUGCAUAGAGCAAGUAAUUUAAUGAUUAUUGCUAAAGAUAAAUAAUUACCCUUGUUGUAUUGUUUUUCUAUAAACGUACAAUUGAGAACAAAACCCGGCUUAU
This 357-nucleotide RNase P RNA is filed under the name Nitophyllum punctatum. RNAcentral describes it as "ribonuclease P RNA". The stretch from base 2 to 177 matches the Rfam family "Bacterial RNase P class A", at positions 44 to 222 of the family's 367-position model. The record is from RNAcentral. Lineage: Eukaryota; Rhodophyta; Florideophyceae; Ceramiales; Delesseriaceae.